This is a long non-coding RNA of Triticum urartu, 417 nucleotides long. RefSeq lists it as uncharacterized. Lineage: Eukaryota; Viridiplantae; Streptophyta; Magnoliopsida; Poales; Poaceae. The record is from RefSeq and is a predicted model, not a curated record.
CAGGGCUGACUUCGGAGCAAAUUUCUUCACCGCGUCGCCUACGGACAGGAAUAUCUUGUCGUCGCCGAUGAGCUUCGUGAAUUUUGCUGACUGCAGCUUCUGGAUCACUGCUGACCCGGGAUUGGCGAGGAUCAGCUAUUGUUGGGUAUGCUAAAAAAAAUCCAUGCAAUUGAAACUAAAAAGGCCAUCAAAGGUUUUGUUACCGUUAAGCCGACCAUUCCGGCCACUACACCAAUUCUGAAUCCUUUAGCUAAGUAUGGGCCAGACCAAUAUAUGAGAUGAAAUGAAGAAGUUGCGAGUACUCAAGUUGACUUACAAUUGCAACACCCUGCUUGUCUGCACGGGUGAUGAACACACAGAAUGUGGAUACGAUCACUGAAAUGAGCGGAGCGAUUGCAGAAACCCAGAAGAGCUUUU